CCUACGGGAGGCAGCAGUGGGGAAUUUUGGACAAUGGGCACAAGCCUGAUCCAGCAAUGCCGCGUGCAGGAUGAAGGCCUUCGGGUUGUAAACUGCUUUUGUACGGAACGAAACGGUGAGCUCUAAUACAGUUUGCUAAUGACGGUACCGUAAGAAUAAGCACCGGCUAACUACGUGCCAGCAGCCGCGGUAAUACGUAGGGUGCGAGCGUUAAUCGGAAUUACUGGGCGUAAAGCGUGCGCAGGCGGUGAUGUAAGACAGAUGUGAAAUGCCCGGGCUCAACCUGGGACCUGCAUUUGUGACUGCAUCGCUAGAGUACGGUAGAGGGGGAUGGAAUUCCGCGUGUAGCAGUGAAAUGCGUAGAUAUGCGGAGGAACACCGAUGGCGAAGGCAAUCCCCUGGACCUGUACUGACGCUCAUGCACGAAAGCGUGGGGAGCAAACAGGAUUAGAUACCCUGGUAGUCCACGCCCUAAACGAUGUCAACUGGUUGUUGGGUCUUCGACUGACUCAGUACGAAGCUAACGCGUGAAGUUGACCGCCUGGGGAGUACGGCCGCAAGGUUGAAACGUUAAAGGAAUUGAGGCUGAGACGNGCGAGGACGACGACGAGGGGAGGAGG
This 620-nucleotide ribosomal RNA is filed under the name uncultured bacterium. RNAcentral describes it as "bacterial SSU rRNA". It matches the Rfam family "Bacterial small subunit ribosomal RNA", at positions 338 to 950 of the family's 1533-position model. The record is from RNAcentral.